RNAcentral lists this transfer RNA (71 nucleotides) under Daphnia pulex (common water flea). It matches the Rfam family "tRNA". Rfam says of the family: Transfer RNA (tRNA) molecules are approximately 80 nucleotides in length. Their secondary structure includes four short double-helical elements and three loops (D, anti-codon, and T loops). The record is from Rfam by way of RNAcentral. Lineage: Eukaryota; Metazoa; Arthropoda; Branchiopoda; Diplostraca; Daphniidae.
UCCCAUAUUGUCUAGUGGUUAGGAUGAUGGCUCUCACCCAGGAGGCCCGGGUUCAAUUCCCGGUAUGGGAA